UGGAUAUUCUCAAGAUAAUGUGGAUUUCCUGUCAUAUGUCUUGAACAUCCGCUGUCAAAAUACCAAACACUUUGUUCUUGGCUUGUUUCUGAGUACGCCUUUAUGUGUCCCAAUUUGUGGCAGUAAUAACAUCUGAUUCUCCUUCGGUGUUGAAAGUGAUGUUGUGACACCUCAGGAUUUUCAGAAGAGUGGCUUUCACUGGACGCUGGAUUUGGAGAUCUAGGCCUUCCAUCUAGUGCCUUGAUUUCUUGUAACAGUUUGGCCUCUCUGUUUUUAGAUUCUAAUAAUUCAUUUUGAGUUUCUUUGA
Ipomoea nil (Japanese morning glory) is the source of this 307-nucleotide long non-coding RNA. RefSeq lists it as uncharacterized. The record is from RefSeq and is a predicted model, not a curated record. The transcript has 2 exons. NCBI's taxonomy places the organism in Eukaryota, Viridiplantae, Streptophyta, Magnoliopsida, Solanales, Convolvulaceae.